GUGCCUGUGGCUCAAAGGAGGAGGGCGCUGGCCCCAUAUGCCAGAGGUGGUGGGUUCAAACCCAACCCUGGCCA
Otolemur garnettii (small-eared galago) is the source of this 74-nucleotide non-coding RNA. Lineage: Eukaryota; Metazoa; Chordata; Mammalia; Primates; Galagidae. The record is from Rfam.